UUAAUAUUAAUAUAUAUAUAUAUAUAUACUAUAUAUAUCACUAAAGAGCUUUUUUGUUCAGCCGUCACUGGCAGCAGCUGACCAGUUACAGGUAGGUUGACCUUUGACCCCACAUACACUUCACAGGAAAUCUGAACUAGGUUUACACAUGAUCCUGGUAUUCGUCUCUGUACUGUUGUCUCUGUUUGACCUUACAGGAUUAAGUUGACCUUUGCCCAAAAUGAGUGACUUCAUUGCUUUCGUCAAUGCCUUCAAGGCCUGAUACACAUCUAGAGCUAAAGGAGAACUCAGACACCCAAAGGUACAAACAUUUAUUGAUCAUAUAUUUGAAAACGAGAAUAUUCUUCUUUUUAGGGGUUUUGCCCUUAAAAACCGCUAGAUGGAGCCUUUCUCAAGAUAUGGUUUUAUGUUUACCUUGACACACUGUCACUCAUGCUGCAGUAUGCUUAAAAAUAAUGCCACAGUGCAGUGUGUACAUAGAUCAACAUCUUAAAUAUGAGACCAGAAUGUGUCCUGUGCACACUCCAACACUCAAAAAUACCAGGAUGAACUGGAAUGGGGCAAAGAGAACUGCAUUCAAAUCAAACUAAUCAGAUAGGUAAAUACACUGUGCACACACAUAAAAAAAUAUGCUCAUUUUAUACAGAAUUUACCUUUUAUACCCGUGUGUUUUACAGGUGGCAGAGCUCUUUGAGGAUCUGAAGAAGAGAGUGUCAAAAUGUAACUAAAUUUAGCUCCUCGAACCCCACAGACUACACCAGCCUGCACAAACAGAUAAUCAUCCUGCAAGUAUAAACAAACACACACCACAUUACACUGUUGUUUAAAAGUUUGAGUCAGCAAGAUAUUAUUAUUAUUAUUAUUAAAGAAUUUUUUUUUUUUGCAGUAUCAUGUGACACUGAAGACUAAUAAAAUGAUUACUGAAAAUUCAGAUUUGUGGUCACUGGAAUAAAUACAUUUUUUACAUAUAUUAAAAUAGAGUUGUUGUUUUUUGUAAUUGUAGCAAUAAAGCAUGAAUAUAACACUUUUUACUGUACUUUUGAUAAAAUAAGCAUAGCCUUGGUGUGAAAAAGAGACUUAGCAUCAAAACAGUCUUAGCCAUCCAUCGCUCCACAAUCAUUGUAACAAUUGUGUUGUGGACAUCACUAGAAUUCCUAUAGAAUUUAAAAAAAAUAUUAACUUUAAUUAUGGUUAUCGAGCUUUGUGAAGCUUUUUAAAUGUGUUAGCAUAAUUGUCAUUUAUCUUCCAGCUCUCUAUUACACCUGGAUUAUUUUUUUAGGAAUUUCAGUGAGCCAUAAGCUGUAUCUGCAUGUUUCAGUCGGGCAUGUAACCGGUUGAUUUAAGACUCUUAUAAGCGGGCACUCUUCUAACCUUGGAAACACCAUGGAAACACCAAGUUUUCUUUGGCAUUAUUUUUAAGUUUUUAACAUUUCAUAGUCCUCUGUUGCUUAGUAACAAUGAAUACUUCCUGAAAUAUGUAAUAUGACACAGAGUAAAACAAAGAUAAUUACAACUUUCCUACUUUUCUCCCAGCUGAGUUUGAAUCUCACAAUUCUGACUUUUUUUCUCUCUUUUUUUUUUUUGGUUAGAAUUGUGAGUUUAUAUCUCCCUUGUUUUCAUAGAUGUGAAAACAUAUUUUAGGGGGCAUAAUUUUCACCAAUCUCAUGUUAAUUUUGGGUACCUAUAUAGUAGUAUUGCACCCUUCAUAUCUCUGUAGAGUCUUUAGUUUUAUCAGAUUUAUAAAAGAAGGAUACAACCUUACGAUUCAUUCCGAAAACAGCUGAUCUCCUGGAGGAGUGCCAUGGGUGAAGCUAAAGAGUCCUGAGCACUUGCCCACCGAUUGGCAACAAAACACAGAAAUUUGGUGCAGUUUUACUC
Long non-coding RNA from Carassius auratus (goldfish), 1878 nucleotides. Lineage: Eukaryota; Metazoa; Chordata; Actinopteri; Cypriniformes; Cyprinidae. The record is from Ensembl.